RNAcentral lists this ribosomal RNA (356 nucleotides) under uncultured bacterium. Its description in RNAcentral is "bacterial SSU rRNA". It matches the Rfam family "Bacterial small subunit ribosomal RNA", at positions 29 to 409 of the family's 1533-position model. The record is from RNAcentral.
AGCGAACGCUGGCGGCAGGCUUAACACAUGCAAGUCGAGCGCCUGUAGCAAUACAGGAGCGGCAGACGGGAGAGUAACACGUGGGAACGUACCCUUUGGUUCGGAACAACCCAGGGAAACUUGGACUAAUACCGGAUAAGCCCUAACGGGGAAAGAUUUAUCGCCAAAGGAUCGGCCCGCGUCUGAUUAGCUAGUUGGUGAGGUAACGGCUCACCAAGGCGACGAUCAGUAGCUGGUCNGAGAGGAUGAUCAGCCUCACUGGGACUGAGACACGGCCCAGACUCCUACGGGAGGCAGCAGGUGGGGAAUAUUGGACAAUGGGCGCAAGCCUGAUCCAGCCAUGCCGCGUGGGUGAU